Sus scrofa (pig) is the source of this 6152-nucleotide non-coding RNA. The record is from RefSeq and is a predicted model, not a curated record. NCBI's taxonomy places the organism in Eukaryota, Metazoa, Chordata, Mammalia, Artiodactyla, Suidae.
CAAAGAAAAUGUCCAAGGAAAUGUCUACUGAAAUGAAUCGAAACCCCAGAGGGGAAAAGGAGAAGCGCCAGUGCCCAGCAGUCAAGGCCUUUCGCGACCCAAGGCGAGGCCCAUGGUGCAGCUGGUCCCUGUCUCCACUGGCAGGAGAGGGUGGCGCGGCGGAGGCUCCCGGAAAGUGUGCUGGAGAAGAGAAACGAGUUGGUACACGCACAGUAUUUGUUGGCAAUCAUCCAGUUUCAGAAACAGAAGCAUACAUUGCACAAAAAUUUUGUGAUAAUAGAAUAGUCUCAUCUAAGUAUACACUUUGGAAUUUCCUCCCAAAGAAUCUGUUUGAACAGUUUAGGAGAAUUGCAAAUUUUUAUUUUCUCAUCAUUUUCCUUGUACAGGUCACAGUAGACACACCAACUAGCCCAGUUACCAGUGGACUUCCACUUUUCUUUGUUAUAACUGUUACAGCCAUCAAACAGGGAUAUGAGGACUGGCUGAGACACAGAGCAGACAAUGAAGUCAACAAGAGCACUGUUUACAUUAUUGAAAAUGCAAAACGAGUAAGAAAAGAAAGUGAAAAAAUCAAGGUCGGUGAUGUAGUAGAAGUACAGGCAGAUGAAACCUUUCCCUGUGAUCUUAUUCUUCUAUCAUCCUGCACAAUCGAUGGGACCUGUUAUGUGACUACAGCAAGUCUUGAUGGGGAAUCCAAUUGCAAGACACAUCAUGCAGUACGUGACACCAUUGAACUGUGUACAGCCGAAUCCAUUGAUACCCUCAGAGCAGCCAUUGAAUGUGAACAGCCUCAGCCUGACCUCUACAAGUUUGUUGGCCGAAUCAAUAUCUAUAGUAAUAGUCUUGAAGCUGUUGCCAGGUCUUUGGGACCUGAAAAUCUCUUGUUGAAAGGAGCUACGCUAAAAAAUACCAAGAAGAUAUAUGGAGUUGCUGUUUACACUGGAAUGGAAACCAAAAUGGCAUUGAACUACCAAGGGAAAUCUCAGAAACGUUCUGCUGUUGAAAAAUCCAUUAAUGCCUUCCUGAUUGUGUAUUUAUUUAUCUUACUGACCAAAGCUGCAGUAUGCACUACUCUAAAAUAUGUUUGGCAAAGCACCCCAUAUAAUGAUGAACCUUGGUAUAAUCAAAAGACUCAGAAAGAGCGGGAAACUUUAAAGGUUUUGAAAAUGUUCACCGACUUCCUGUCAUUUAUGGUUCUAUUCAACUUUAUCAUUCCUGUGUCCAUGUAUGUCACAGUAGAAAUGCAAAAAUUCUUGGGCUCCUUCUUCAUUUCAUGGGACAAGGACUUUUAUGAUGAAGAAAUUAAUGAAGGAGCCCUGGUUAACACAUCAGACCUUAAUGAAGAACUUGGUCAGGUGGAUUAUGUAUUUACAGAUAAAACCGGAACACUCACUGAAAACAGCAUGGAAUUCAUUGAAUGCUGCAUAGAUGGGCAUAAGUAUAAAGGUGUAACUCAGGAGGCUGAUGGACUUUCUCAAACUGAUGGACCCUUACCGUAUUUUGACAAAGCAGAUAAGAAUCGAGAAGAGCUCUUUCUGCGUGCCUUGUGUUUAUGUCAUACUGUGGAAAUUAAAACAAAUGAUGCUGUUGAUGGAGCUACUGAAUCAGCCGAAUUAACCUAUAUGUCCUCUUCACCAGAUGAAAUAGCUUUGGUCAAGGGAGCUAAAAAGUAUGGGUUCACAUUUGUAGGAAUUCGGAAUGGCCAUAUGAGAGUAGAAAACCAAAGAAAAGAAAUAGAAGAGUAUGAACUUCUUCACACCUUAAAUUUUGAUUCUGUCCGCCGUCGUAUGAGUGUAAUUGUGAAGACUCAAUCAGGAGACAUUCUUCUCUUUUGUAAAGGAGCCGACUCAGCAGUUUUCCCCAGGGUGCAAAAUCAUGAAAUUGAGUUAACUAAAGCCCAUGUGGAACGUAAUGCAAUGGAUGGGUAUCGGACACUUUGUGUAGCCUUCAAAGAAAUUGCUCCAGAUGAUUAUGAAAAAAUUAACAGACAACUCAUAGAGGCGAAAAUGGCCUUACAAGACAGAGAAGAAAAAAUGGAAAAGGUUUUUGAUGAUAUUGAGACAAACAUGAAUUUAAUUGGAGCCACUGCAGUGGAAGACAAGCUACAGGAUCAAGCUGCUGAGACCAUUGAAGCUUUGCACGCAGCAGGUCUGAAAGUCUGGGUGCUUACUGGGGACAAGAUGGAGACAGCCAAAUCCACCUGCUAUGCCUGCCGCCUUUUCCAAACCAGCACCGAGCUCUUGGAACUGACCACCAAAACCAUCGAAGAAAGUGAAAGGAAAGAAGAUCGAUUACAUGAGUUGUUGAUUGAAUAUCGUAAGAAGUUGCUGCAUGAAUUUCCUAAAAGUACUAGAAGCCUUAAAAAAGCAUGGACAGAACAUCAGGAAUAUGGAUUAAUCAUCGAUGGCUCCACACUGUCUCUCAUAUUAAAUUCGAGUCAAGACUCUGGUUCUAACAAUUACAAAAGCAUUUUCCUACAAAUUUGUAUGAAGUGCACUGCAGUGCUCUGCUGUCGGAUGGCACCAUUACAGAAAGCCCAGAUUGUGAGAAUGGUGAAGAAUUUAAAAGGCAGCCCCAUAACACUGUCGAUAGGUGAUGGUGCCAAUGAUGUUAGUAUGAUCUUGGAAUCCCAUGUGGGAAUAGGUAUUAAAGGCAAAGAAGGUCGGCAGGCAGCCAGGAAUAGUGAUUAUUCUGUUCCAAAGUUUAAACAUUUAAAGAAACUGCUCUUGGCUCAUGGACAUCUAUAUUAUGUGAGAAUAGCACACCUUGUGCAGUAUUUCUUCUAUAAGAACCUUUGUUUCAUUUUGCCACAGUUUUUGUACCAGUUCUUCUGUGGAUUUUCACAACAGCCACUGUAUGAUGCCGCUUACCUUACAAUGUACAAUAUCUGCUUCACAUCCUUGCCCAUCCUGGCCUACAGUCUGUUGGAACAGCACAUCAACAUUGACACUCUGACCUCAGAUCCCCGAUUGUAUAUGAAAAUUUCUGGCAAUGCCAUGCUACAGUUGGGCCCCUUCUUAUAUUGGACAUUUCUGGCUGCAUUCGAAGGAACAGUGUUCUUCUUUGGGACUUAUUUUCUUUUUCAGACUUCAUCUUUAGAAGAAAAUGCAAAGGUAUAUGGGAACUGGACUUUUGGAACCAUUGUUUUUACAGUCUUAGUAUUCACUGUAACUCUGAAGCUCGCCUUGGAUACUCGUUUCUGGACAUGGAUAAACCACUUUGUGAUUUGGGGUUCUUUAGCCUUUUAUGUGUUUUUCUCAUUCUUCUGGGGAGGAAUUAUAUGGCCUUUUCUCAAACAACAGAGAAUGUAUUUCGUAUUUGCUCAAAUGCUGUCCUCUGUAUCCACAUGGCUGGCCAUAGUUCUUCUAAUAUUUAUCAGCCUUUUCCCUGAGAUUCUUCUGAUAGUAUUAAAGAAUGUAAGAAGAAGAAGUGCCAGGGUAACGAAACGCCUCCCUUCCUCAGGAACAUCUACUAUCUUCAUGCUUUCUCAAACUUCCAGCAAUCACAGUUUCUCUUGGAGUGAAUAAGAGAAAUCUGAGCUGUAAAAAGGCAUCUGACUCAUUAUCCACCAGACCUUCAGUCAGACCUCUUCUUUUACGAACAUUCUCAGACGAAUCUAAUAUAUUGUAACAGAAUCCGAAUCUUGAACUGCCUAUGUUACUGUCCUACAAGCAUAUUGACAGUGGUUACAGCUAAAAGAGAAAGCAUGAAGAAACAACUACAAAAAGUUUUCAUCUCAGGAUACUCGAUAUGCAACAAACUAAACCACUAUCUUAAGUCUAAGGUUCAGAAUAAAUGUCCAUUAAAAUACCAAAUGACUCUCUUUAAGUAUUUACAGUUAUUGUAAGCAGCCGUUAUGGCCAAAGCUCUAAGUUAUGAAUUAUAUGAAAGUUGAAAGCAAGAUUAUUUAGAAUUUCUGGCUUUAGAUAGAAUAAAAUAACUACCAAAUGAGUGCUCUUUUAACCCAUGAACUCUGUGAAUGGAUUUAAAUACAAUAGUAUAAAGUAGAAGUCAUGCAAUGGGAAUGAAUAGAUUUUGCUAAUACUACUUUUUUUGCCUGGCAGAAGAAAUAGGCUGUUUGGAUCACAUUUCUUGUUCCUGCUGAAUGAUAAUCUUAAAUUAUUUUUUUCAAUAUAUGAAAGGAAUACUUGAAAAUAUGAGGACUAAAUCAAUACAUCAGAUAAUCCUUUCUGUUCACCCCCAUGCUAAUUUUGUCCUGAUAGAAUAUCCUUGCCAAAAAAAUAUCUUGAAUACUUACUAUUUUUUCUUCUGAAUUACACCUAAUGGGUGUAAGAUUUGAAAAUAAAGCAUUUCCAAUCACUUAGUAGCCCCUCAAAACAGUUAAGAUUUAAUAGAUUUUUCCGGUAUUAGUUUUAUUCAGAUCUAAGGCAAGCUGGGGGAAAAUGUAGUUACAUAAAAAUAAAGGCCAUUCUGAACAUCGUGGAGAGGUAGGAAGAAUAGCUGAUUUCAAACUAAUGGUUUUUAUUUGAAAGAGGUUGCGUCUGUGCAUAUAUGUAGCACUUUAUUUUUUUUAACUUGCCAAUUGGGGGAGGAGGAGGGGUUCAUCCAAGAGAGUGGUUCCACCUGCAGAGCACAACUCUGUGAACACGAGUGUUGUUUCUCUUAGCAGACUGGACGAGGGUAAUGGUCCGACUCUAAACCAUGAGAUUCACCCAGGUGUCAAGUCCUCGAUUUACCGGACUUGAGGGAGGGUUUAGCUUCCUAAGGAGUUUGCUUAAAACAUAAAAGUAAAUGUGAUCUGUCUUUACCAAAUGUUAAAAUUAAACACAUUUUUUUUUAUAUAAAUGACAUCAUUUGACGACUAGAUUGAAAUGACCUUUUAAAAAGUGUUUUCAUACCAGUUUCCACUUUUAUUUUUUUUUCGGGCAUGCCUGUACUAUUAUUAGUGUUUAUAUUGUACCUUAAUUUGGAAAAGUAUUAGAUUUAGUCUAUACCAGUGUAUUUAUAUGGUCCAUAUGGCACAUUUGAUUCUUCCAUGUGUAUUUUGUGUUAAUGUUUAGCUGUAAUUUUUCUUAAAUUCUAGAAAGGACAUAUUUAGUUAUCAGAAACCAUUCCAUCAUUAUUGACCCUUUUUCAUCAUUUCAUCCGUCAGUAUUAUUGUUGAGUAUUUUGUUAAGCGUCCUCAUACCUUCCUAAGUGUGCUGUGUUCUGGUAGCCUGUAUUUGAGGUUUGAAGUAGUCUGCUGAAAACCAAGUCAAUAUAUUCUUAUUCCAAAGAGCUGAAAAAAUCAGACCCAGGAAAGCUUUCAAUGUUUUGUUGUUGUUCUUGUUUUUAGUAGUUGUUGUCUCUCGUAUUGUUCUUGUUUUACAUAAGAAUUAUAGGGACUGUGAAUACAGAGAGCCCACCUUAACUAGAGGAGCUUGUUUGAUGCAGACCAUUGGAGAUUGGACAUAAUCAGAAUAUCUGGGGUAGUGGAUAUAUAACUGGUGGCAUAUAAAAUUCCCUUUAGCCUGGAAGAAAGACAAGGAGGAUUUAGAGUCGCGUCUUAGCUGCAUAUUACACGGCAGCUCAAAUUCACGACGGCCGUGAUGUAUAAUAUCAUGGUCUGGAUCCUUGAGAAGGACAUGACUUUAUUGUUUGAAAGGUAUUUUUUCAUGAGCUAAAAAUAAUGGUUAGCAUGGGGUUAGCAGAUGGAACGACUUGAAGUAAGCCAUCCAGUAUUCCUAGCACUACAAUUUAACCACUUUAUUUUGUGUCAGAGAAAGGGGUAAAAUGUAAUAAUCAUAUACCCACCAUCUGAAUAAUGUUGAACUACAAAAUGUCCUUGUAAUUUUCACAACUACUGUCUGAUGUUUGAGGAUGUUAACUGAAAACAUAAAUUCCAUAUCUACCACAUUUACACCAGCAACAGUAUAAAAUGUAAGCCUAAAUUUGCAAAAUUCAUAAUAAUUUAGUGAUGAAAUUUUUUAAUAACAUGCAGUAUAUAUAAAUGCAGAUUUUAUGCAAGUGUUGACAAAGUCAUUUUUCAGCUUGCAAAAUGGGACUACAAUAUUACAUUUUUCACUUCAGCAAUUUUUUACAUCUAUGUUGUUGCUUUCUAUAAUGAAUGUGAAUGCUGUCUUUUAUGAAUGCCUUUUUCAUUACAGAAAUUUUUGUUUGAUGUAAUCAAUAAACUUUGGUAUGAUACGAUA